CAGAAAAUAGUUUAUUAAAAAUAUUAAUUUUGGGAAUUAAUGAAAAAUAGUUUUAUUUUUUUCUGA
Molecule: transfer RNA, 66 nt
Filed under: Synendotendipes impar
Lineage: Eukaryota; Metazoa; Arthropoda; Insecta; Diptera; Chironomidae
Description: tRNA-Pro
Source: RNAcentral